AUGGAGAUGGCCAUUGUGAUGGCCCGGUAUUCCAUCAGACGCCUGUUAGCUGACGUCCCCGAUGAUGUUGACAUGGUUGUUUUUCCUAACUAUGAAAGCAGCGUCGAGCGUGAUGAUAUAAAAGAUCCAUUCAGUGAGAAGAAAAAACUAUGCCGCCACUCCUCCCUCGAUUUCUGUCUAGGGUUUCCUGCCUCCGCCUCCGCCAUCGCGGAAGCCGAGGGCACGCCGCCGCCUCUGCCGAUCCCUAGGGACGCCGCCUCCGUGGAUGAAGUGGUUCCAUUUGAUCGCAGUUUCUACCUUUUCAAGUUGUUUGGUUAUGAGCCAAGACUGAAGAUAUACAAGCUUAUGUUGCCUCUGUUACCAUGUGGCAACGCAACCAUGAAGGGCUUGACGUGUUGGCUAUCAAGAAGCACUAGGUUGACGGCAGGCAAGGCAUCCAGGAAGCCACAUCACGAGAGAGCGAUGACGCUCAAAGGUUGUGAAGAGGAGUUCCUGAUGAUAGCUGAAUAUACCGGCCUACUUGCCUACAACCAAGGCAAAAUUAUCAGCGUUUAUGCGAAACAGCCUGCUAGCUGGGUGUGUGCCUCCUGUUUGAGCGAGAGGGAUGACCUUUGCUGGGCAGUCAAAGGAUGUGCUCGGAUAUGGUGGUCCAACUGCAAGCGUAGCUUGCAGCUCCAGCUUAGAUUUGUUAGGAACCAAUCACCCAGAUGCCUUUCCUAG
This 720-nucleotide ribosomal RNA is filed under the name Triticum aestivum (bread wheat). RNAcentral's name for it is "partial small subunit ribosomal RNA". Lineage: Eukaryota; Viridiplantae; Streptophyta; Magnoliopsida; Poales; Poaceae. The record is from RNAcentral.